AGCAGCCGCGGUAAUUCCAGCUCCAAUAGCGUAUAUUAAAGUUGUUGCAGUUAAAAAGCUCGUAGUUGAAUUUCGGGGUUAGUAGGUUGGUCAUGCCUCUGGUAUGUACUGGUCUCACUGAUUCCUCCUUCCUGAUGAGCCGUAAUGCCAUUAAUUUGGUGUUGCGGGGAAUUUGGACUGUUACUUUGAAAAAUUAGAGUGUUUAAAGCAGGCUCACGCUUGAAUACAUUAGCAUGGAAUAAUGAAAUAGGACGUUUGAUUCUAUUUUGUUGGUUUCUAGGAUCGACGUAAUGAUUAAUAGGGAUAGUUGGGGGCAUUAGUAUUCAAUUGUCAGAGGUGAAACUCUUGGAUUUAUUGAAGACUAACUACUGCGAAAGCAUUUGCCAAGAAUGUUUUCAUUAAUCAAGAACGAAAGUUAGGGGAUCGAAGACGAUCAGAUACCGUCGUAGUCUUAACCAUAAACUAUGCCGACUAGGGAUCGGAUGAUGUUAAUUUUUAAUGACUCAUUCGGCGCCUUAAC
RNAcentral lists this ribosomal RNA (520 nucleotides) under uncultured Glomus. Its description in RNAcentral is "SSU rRNA". It matches the Rfam family "Eukaryotic small subunit ribosomal RNA", at positions 569 to 1092 of the family's 1831-position model. Lineage: Eukaryota; Fungi; Glomeromycota; Glomeromycetes; Glomerales; Glomeraceae. The record is from RNAcentral.